RNAcentral lists this ribosomal RNA (770 nucleotides) under uncultured bacterium. RNAcentral's name for it is "bacterial SSU rRNA". It matches the Rfam family "Bacterial small subunit ribosomal RNA", at positions 8 to 796 of the family's 1533-position model. The record is from RNAcentral.
AGAGUUUGAUCCUGGCUCAGGACGAACGCUGGCGGCGCGCCUCAUACAUGCAAGUCGAGCGAGAACCGGGCUUCGGCCCGGGGAGAGCGGCGAACGGGUGCGUAUCACGUGAGCAACCUGCCUCAGAGACCGGGAUAACUCGAGGAAACUCGGGCUAAUACCGGAUGCCCUCGGUGGAUCGCAUGGUCCGGCGAGGAAAUGGAUUCCGCUCUGAGAUGGGCUCGCGGCCUAUCAGCUUGUUGGUGGGGUAACGGCCUACCAAGGCGACGACGGGUAGCUGGUCUGAGAGGACGAUCAGCCACACUGGGACUGAGACACGGCCCAGACUCCUACGGGAGGCAGCAGUAGGGAAUCUUGCGCAAUGGGCGAAAGCCUGACGCAGCGACGCCGCGUGCGGGAUGAAGGCCUUCGGGUCGUAAACCGCUUUCAGCAGGGACGAAAUUGACGGUACCUGCAGAAGAAGGCCCGGCCAACUACGUGCCAGCAGCCGCGGUGAUACGUAGGGGUCUAGCGUUGUCCGGAAUCAUUGGGCGUAAAGAGCUCGUAGGCGGUUCGGCAAGUCGGAUGUGAAAUCUCCACGCUCAACGUGGAGGGGCCAUUCGAAACUGCCGUGACUCGAGUCCGGUAGGGGAGUGCGGAAUUCCCGGUGUAGCGGUGAAAUGCGCAGAUAUCGGGAGGAACACCAGUGGCGAAGGCGGCACUCUGGGCCGGAACUGACGCUGAGGAGCGAAAGCGUGGGGAGCGAACAGGAUUAGAUACCCCCGUAGUCC